CGUGCUUAACACAUGCAAGUCGAAACGCGAAAGGGACUUCGGUCCUGAGUAAAGUGGCGCACGGGUGAGUAACGCGUAGAUAACCUGUCUUCAUGUCUGGAAUAAUACGCCGAAAGGGGUACUAAUACCGGAUAUUCUUGCUUUUCAUAAGUUAUGCAAGCAAAGGUGGCCUCUGCAUAUGCUACUGCAUGAAGAGGGGUCUGCGUACCAUUAGCUAGUAGGUGGGGUAAUGGCCUACCUAGGCGACGAUGGUUAGCGGGUCUGAGAGGAUGAUCCGCCACACUGGCACUGGAACACGGGCCAGACUCCUACGGGAGGCAGCAGUGAGGAAUAUUGCGCAAUGGGGGAAACCCUGACGCAGCGACGCCGCGUGAGUGAGGAAGGCCUUCGGGUCGUAAAGCUCUGUCAAGAGGAAAGAAGUGUACAAUGGCUAAUACCUGUUGUAUUUGACGGUACCUCUAAAGGAAGCACCGGCUAACUCCGUGCCAGCCGCCGC
RNAcentral lists this ribosomal RNA (496 nucleotides) under uncultured bacterium. RNAcentral describes it as "bacterial SSU rRNA". It matches the Rfam family "Bacterial small subunit ribosomal RNA", at positions 43 to 518 of the family's 1533-position model. The record is from RNAcentral.